GGAGAGGUACCCAAGUGGUUAUAAGGGGGCGGUCUUGAAAACCGCUAGGCUGUAACAGGUACGUGGGUUCGAAUCCCACCUUCUCCGCCA
RNAcentral lists this transfer RNA (90 nucleotides) under Streptococcus pneumoniae. RNAcentral describes it as "tRNA-Ser(tga)". It matches the Rfam family "tRNA". Rfam says of the family: Transfer RNA (tRNA) molecules are approximately 80 nucleotides in length. Their secondary structure includes four short double-helical elements and three loops (D, anti-codon, and T loops). Lineage: Bacteria; Bacillati; Bacillota; Bacilli; Lactobacillales; Streptococcaceae. The record is from RNAcentral.